Sinocyclocheilus anshuiensis is the source of this 366-nucleotide non-coding RNA. The record is from the annotation of a RefSeq genome assembly. Lineage: Eukaryota; Metazoa; Chordata; Actinopteri; Cypriniformes; Cyprinidae.
AUGACCUUCAUCAUCAUCUUCAUCUGGACUCUCACAGCGUUUGCUCAAGGACAGAUCAUCAUCACUCAGAGUCCAUCAAUGACAGCAGCUCAACCAGGAGAAACAGUCAAAAUCAACUGCAAAACCAGCAGAGAAGUGAUCAAGCAUAGUGGGCGUGAUGGUUUAUCCUGGUACUUACAGAAACCUGGAGAAGCUCCUAAACUCCUGAUUUAUUUUGCAAGCACACUCCAGUCAGGGAGUCCAUCUAGAUUCAGUGGCAGUGGAUCUGGGACUGAUUUCACUCUGACCAUCAGUGGAGUCCAGACUGAAGAUGCUGCACAUUAUUACUGUAUGAGUGACCAUGGUAGUUAUGUGUUGACACAGUGA